This 388-nucleotide long non-coding RNA is filed under the name Homo sapiens (human). RNAcentral describes it as "HSALNT0145274". The record is from RNAcentral. Lineage: Eukaryota; Metazoa; Chordata; Mammalia; Primates; Hominidae.
CAUGGGGGCAUGAGAGUUUAUUGUCUCCAAGAGGGUGAAGGUCGUGGUCCCAAUGCACAGGUGGGGGCACCCACAGUGUUAUCCUUCCUGGGUUUCCCUUGGGCAGAGGGGGCUGGAAAUGGGAAGGCAGAGUGGGAGCCCCAGCUGUGGCCGCACCCAGGUUCUUCUGCCCCUCGAAGGGUCCUGGACAGCAUUCAGGGCAAGGGGCCUCAUGCAAGGGGCCAUCGCCCACCAGAGACACUGUCUUUCCCACCACCAACACCAGAGGCACCGUCCUUCCCCAUCACCCAACACCGGAGGCACCAUCCUUCCCCAUUGCCCAUCAGAGGCACCGUCCAUCCCAUCACCCACACCAGAGGCACCGUCCUUCCCAUCACCCACACCAGAG